UGGGGAAUAUUGCACAAUGGGCGCAAGCCUGAUGCAGCCAUGCCGCGUGUAUGAAGAAGGCCUUCGGGUUGUAAAGUACUUUCAGCGGGGGGGAAGGUGUUGAGGUUAAUAACCUCAGCAAUUGAGGUUACCCGCAGAAGAAGCACCGGCUAACUCCGUGCCAGCAGCCGCGGUAAUACGGAGGGUGCAAGCGUUAAUCGGAAUUACUGGGCGUAAAGCGCACGCAGGCGGUCUGUCAAGUCGGAUGUGAAAUCCCCGGGCUCAACCUGGGAACUGCAUUCGAAACUGGCAGGCUAGAGUCUUGUAGAGGGGGGUAGAAUUCCAGGUGUAGCGGUGAAAUGCGUAGAGAUCUGGAGGAAUACCGGUGGCGAAGGCGGCCCCCUGGACAAAGACUGACGCUCAGGUGCGAGAGCGUGGGGAGCAAACA
This 427-nucleotide ribosomal RNA is filed under the name uncultured bacterium. RNAcentral describes it as "partial 16S ribosomal RNA". It matches the Rfam family "Bacterial small subunit ribosomal RNA", at positions 355 to 774 of the family's 1533-position model. The record is from RNAcentral.